UACGGAGGGGGCAAGCGUUGUUCGGAGUUACUGGGCGUAAAGCGCGCGUAGGCGGUGCGGUAAGUCAGGGGUGAAAUCCCACGGCUCAACCGUGGAAUUGCCUUUGAAACUGCUGGGCUUGGAUCCUGGAGAGGGUGGCGGAAUUCCUGGUGUAGGAGUGAAAUCCGUAGAUAUCAGGAGGAACACCGGUGGCGAAGGCGGCCACCUGGACAGGUAUCGACGCUGAGGCGCGAAAGUGUGGGGAGCAAACAGG
This 253-nucleotide ribosomal RNA is filed under the name uncultured microorganism. Its description in RNAcentral is "partial 16S ribosomal RNA". It matches the Rfam family "Bacterial small subunit ribosomal RNA", at positions 524 to 776 of the family's 1533-position model. The record is from RNAcentral.